Molecule: ribosomal RNA, 370 nt
Filed under: uncultured bacterium
Lineage: Bacteria
Description: bacterial SSU rRNA
Rfam family: Bacterial small subunit ribosomal RNA
Source: RNAcentral
GUAGGGGCAAGCGUUGUCCGGAUUUAUUGGGCGUAAAGCGCGUGUAGGCGGCCAGGCAGGUCCGUUGUGAAAACUAGAGGCUCAACCUCUAGACGUCGAUGGAAACCGCUUGGCUAGAGUCCGGAAGAGGAGAGUGGAAUUCCUGGUGUAGCGGUGAAAUGUGCAGAUAUCAGGAAGAACACCGAUGGCGAAGGCAGCUCUCUGGGACGGUACUGACGCUGAGACGCGAAAGCGUGGGGAGCGAACAGGAUUAGAUACCCUGGUAGUCCACGCCGUAAACGAUGGGUGCUAGGUGUGGGAGGUGUCGACUCCUCCCGUGCCGCAGCUAACGCAUUAAGCACCCCGCCUGGGGAGUACGGCCGCAAGGCUA